RNAcentral lists this long non-coding RNA (855 nucleotides) under Arabidopsis lyrata. Its description in RNAcentral is "long non-coding RNA (ALYR_LNC001216)". Lineage: Eukaryota; Viridiplantae; Streptophyta; Magnoliopsida; Brassicales; Brassicaceae. The record is from RNAcentral.
CCAAAGACAUAGUGGAACUUGAACUGAAGCAACUCGACUGUGAGAUCGUUAUUCGAAAGAAGGAAGCUUUACAGCAAGCUGUACCACCAGCUCCAGUUUAUCACUCGAUGCCUCCUCCAAUGACAGACCUUUCAAUGCCUCCAGCUCAACCAGUGGCUCCUCCUCCUUCUCCGACUCCUUCCUCAACCCCUGCAACAGCAAAACCAACAACCGCCCCAUCCUCAUCUCAUCCUCCACUCAAGAGUCCUAUGGCUGGUACUUUCUACAGAUCUCCUGGACCUGGUGAACCACCUUUUGUCAAGGUACAACAGGAUGCACAAAUAAAACCUAACAAAUCUUUGGUUGUUGGAUGAAGUCGAAUCAAAGUUUUUGAUAGUUCUUUGUCCAUAUAAAUCAUCGAGUGAAAGUCACUACAUUUUAAGUUGAUGUGGUUUUUUUGUUUGUUUGCACAUUGCAGGUUGGAGACAAGGUGCAGAAAGGUCAAGUUGUUUGCAUUAUCGAAGCUAUGAAACUGAUGAACGAGAUUGAGGUCUGAUAUUCUUUAUAACAUUACGAUAGCGUGCAAUGGAACUUUGCGAAUUUUGAUGAUCCUUUCAAUAUCUAUGUGUUUAUAUAUGUUUGUGUGAUCAAUUAUCAAUUAUUUGCGAGCUCUCAAAGUCUUUAACCUAAGAAAUGGUGUCUUGAAAAUAGGCUGAGAAGUCAGGAACCAUCACUGAAUUACUGGCUGAAGAUGGAAAACCAGUUAGCAUUGACACGGUAUCGAUCUCAUAAUCUCUCGCUCUCUGUUUUAUUUCCGGUUUUCUUAUUUGAACUGAUUUUCAGAUCAUUAACUUAUGGUUACUUGUACAACAAACU